This 1165-nucleotide long non-coding RNA is filed under the name Octopus vulgaris (common octopus). Lineage: Eukaryota; Metazoa; Mollusca; Cephalopoda; Octopoda; Octopodidae. The record is from RNAcentral.
ACAUGGAGUACAUAAUCACGUGAUCGACCAGGCUAUCAGAUGUUGCUACACAUCGGUGGUCACAAUGCGCUUCACAUUGUUUUAGCCUUCAAAUGAUGCCACCCCGCUGGCUAAGCGAGCAGGGAUCGUCACUACCCCCCUGCCGGAGCCUCGUGCAGCAUUAGGUGUUUUCGCUCAAUAAACACUCACAACGCCUGGUCUGGGAAUCGAAACCACGAUGCUAUGACCGCGAGUCCGCUGCCCUAGCCACUGGGCCAUUGCACCUCCACGGAGUACAUCAUACCUAGGUAAAAUAUGGAAUGGCCAUAAAUGGAAUAGUGGAAGUGCAUGGCUUAGUGGUUAGGGUGUUGGAUUUAUCUCGUAAGAUUAUGGUUUUGAUUCAUGGACCAGGCAUUGUUGCAGCCCACUCAUCUGGUAAGAAUGCAUUAUUCUGUGACAGACUUGUAUUCUGUCCCAGGGUGAAUAUAAAUACACCAGGAAAACUUGGAAACCAACCCUAUACUUGUUAUGGGGUAAUGUGGACUGACCAUGGCUGGAAUGCUUUAGAUCACUAGUCUACUUCUUCAGGGCUGACAUAAGGUCAAACAACAGCAAAAUCUGGUGCUGCUACUCAAAUCAGCAACGUUUCUUAACAUUUUAGUUGUUCGUUAUCAACAUUAAUUUAUAUGCAGAUGUAUUUCUACAGUCAAUAAGUUUAAUUUGAUAAUAAUUAAAUUAUGUCAGUUCUGUCUUCGUUAUAUAAUCAACUAAUUUCUUUUGUCUUUUCUUUUCACAGAUCAAGAUGUUUUUUUUUUUUCUAAAUUUAUUUUUGGUCCCACGAACUUGGUCUUUUAGUACCAUUGCUACUCUACCACCGCCAUAUGGGGGGGAAAAAUUUCUUUCCAUAUACUACAUCCUCUUUUGAGGAAAUUCUAACAAACACACACACACACACAUACAAUAUAUAUGUAAAAAAAAUUUUCUUUCUCUUUUUUUAUAUUCUUGUACUAAAAAUAAAAAUAUUGAAAUGAAUUUUUUUUAAAAAUUUUAAUUAUUAUAUUGAUUAUAAAAGCAAUCAUGAAAAACAUGUAAUAAACACACAUACAAAAAAAUAAAUAAAAACGGAAAGAUAUUCUUUCAAGAAGUUCAAACAAUGAAAAUAAAUCAUUAAAAUUAGAUGAAUUAU